AACUGCGAGUGAAGCGGGAAAAGCUCAAAUUUAAAAUCUAAUGGCCUUUGGCCAUUCGAGUUGUAAUUUAGAGAAGCGUCUUCCGCGCCAGACCAUGUACAAGUCUCCUGGAACGGAGCGUCAUAGAGGGUGAGAAUCCCGUCUUUGACAUGGACCCUCGGUGCUUCUGUGAUGCGCUCUCAAAGAGUCGAGUUGUUUGGGAAUGCAGCUCAAAAUGGGUGGUGAACUCCAUCUAAGGCUAAAUAUUGGCGAGAGACCGAUAGCGAACAGGUACCGUGAGGGAAGGAUGAAAAGCACUUUGGAAAGAGAGUGAAACAGUACGUGAAAUUGUUGAAAGGGAAACACUUGAAGUCAGUCGCGUCGAUCGAGACUCAGCCUUGCCUCGGCUUGGUGUACUUCUCGACUUGACGGGCCAGCAUCAAUUUCGUCCCUCGGAUAAUGGCAAGUGAAAGGUGGCACCUUUUUUAAGGUGUGUAAUAGUCUCUUGUCGCCUGCGAGGGGUGGGAUUGAGGAACUCAGCACGCGCCUCGCGGCGUCGGGGCUUCGGCCC
This 550-nucleotide ribosomal RNA is filed under the name Lactifluus acicularis. Its description in RNAcentral is "partial large subunit ribosomal RNA". It matches the Rfam family "Eukaryotic large subunit ribosomal RNA", at positions 85 to 606 of the family's 3401-position model. The record is from RNAcentral. Lineage: Eukaryota; Fungi; Basidiomycota; Agaricomycetes; Russulales; Russulaceae.